This 405-nucleotide unclassified non-coding RNA is filed under the name Hevea brasiliensis (rubber tree). The record is from RNAcentral. Lineage: Eukaryota; Viridiplantae; Streptophyta; Magnoliopsida; Malpighiales; Euphorbiaceae.
ACCCACAUAAUAAUUGUAAUAAAAAUACAAUGUAAAUUAUGUACAAAGAUUAUUGCAAUUGAAUGAAAGGAGAUCAUAUUUUGGCCUCAAAUAAUAUCGUACAUGUGAUUGUGAUCUGCACGGGGAAAAAAUAUUGGGAAAAAAAUAUUACAUUCCUUCAAAAUAAACAAAAUGUCACAUAUAUCUCAAUAAAUUUCACCCUACAAAACUUCCAGUACAGAUCGGAUAAUUAAUAUGACCUUUCCUGCUAUUCUGUAUCCCUUUUCUUUUAUAUUGUCUUGCAGACCCUGAGACGGUUGAUGAAGGCUUUGCACUUGUCUUUUCACCCAGAGGCUCCAGCAGCACACUUACCAUAUUCACCCUGUUCUUCUUUGGAAAACUCUUCAAUCAAUUCCCGUUGUCUUG